AGUGGGGUGGCUGAGAUAAAUGAGUAGGUGAUAGGCUGUAAAUCUAUUUAGGGAUAUUUACGUUUAUCCUCCCACUA
Molecule: transfer RNA, 77 nt
Filed under: Dolichorhinotermes longilabius
Lineage: Eukaryota; Metazoa; Arthropoda; Insecta; Blattodea; Rhinotermitidae
Description: tRNA-Tyr
Source: RNAcentral